Molecule: ribosomal RNA, 435 nt
Filed under: uncultured Acidobacterium sp.
Lineage: Bacteria; Pseudomonadati; Acidobacteriota; Terriglobia; Terriglobales; Acidobacteriaceae
Description: bacterial SSU rRNA
Rfam family: Bacterial small subunit ribosomal RNA
Source: RNAcentral
AACGCGAAGAACCUUACCUGGGCUCGAACGGCUGGUCAACGGCAGUGGAAACAUUGCUACCCCGCAAGGGGGUCCAGUCGAGGUGCUGCAUGGCUGUCGUCAGCUCGUGUCGUGAGAUGUUGGGUUAAGUCCCGCAACGAGCGCAACCCUCGUCCUGUGUUGCCAUGUGAGAUUACAUCAAACGGAACUCGCAGGAGACCGCCAGCGAUAAGCUGGAGGAAGGUGGGGAUGACGUCAAGUCCUCAUGGCCUUUAUGUCCAGGGCUACACACGUGCUACAAUGGCCGGUACAAUACGCCGCAAACCCGCGAGGGGGAGCCAAUCGUCAAAAACCGGUCUCAGUUCGGAUUGCAGGCUGCAACUCGCCUGCAUGAAGCUGGAAUCGCUAGUAAUGGCAGAUCAGCACGCUGCCGUGAAUACGUUCCCGGGCCUUGUA